GACUUUGUCGCGUAGUGAUAGGGCUUCCGUCCGGCAAACGGGAGUCGUAGGUUCGAACCCUAUCGCCGUUU
RNAcentral lists this transfer RNA (71 nucleotides) under Oryctes borbonicus. It matches the Rfam family "tRNA". From Rfam's summary of the family: Transfer RNA (tRNA) molecules are approximately 80 nucleotides in length. Their secondary structure includes four short double-helical elements and three loops (D, anti-codon, and T loops). Further hydrogen bonds mediate the characteristic L-shaped molecular structure. tRNAs have two regions of fundamental functional importance: the anti-codon, which is responsible for specific mRNA codon recognition, and the 3' end, to which the tRNAs corresponding amino acid is attached (by aminoacyl-tRNA synthetases). tRNAs cope with the degeneracy of the genetic code in two manners: having more than one tRNA (with a specific anti-codon) for a particular amino acid; and 'wobble' base-pairing, i.e. permitting non-standard base-pairing at the 3rd anti-codon position. Lineage: Eukaryota; Metazoa; Arthropoda; Insecta; Coleoptera; Scarabaeidae. The record is from Rfam by way of RNAcentral.